This 107-nucleotide small nuclear RNA is filed under the name Catagonus wagneri (Chacoan peccary). Lineage: Eukaryota; Metazoa; Chordata; Mammalia; Artiodactyla; Tayassuidae. The record is from RNAcentral.
GUGCUCAUUUCGGCAGCACUCUGUAUUGUAUUGGAACAAUACAGAGAAGAUUAGCAUGGCCCCUGAGCAAGGGUGACAAGCAUAUUUGUGAAGUGUUCCUUAUUUUU